RNAcentral lists this long non-coding RNA (1899 nucleotides) under Gossypium raimondii (Peruvian cotton). RNAcentral describes it as "long non-coding RNA (GRAI_LNC004755)". The record is from RNAcentral. Lineage: Eukaryota; Viridiplantae; Streptophyta; Magnoliopsida; Malvales; Malvaceae.
GAGAAAGGAAAGAAAGAAAAGGGAAUUUUGGGUUUUGAAAUUCCAAGCUCAAUUGGUAAGUCAAUUUAGUCUCUAUUCUUGUAAUUUUUGAGUUUUUGGAGUUCUAGAACAAAAUAUGUCAUGAUUUAAGUUGAAAUUUUGAAAGUUAGUAAAUUUUUAGAUGUUGUUCAUGUUGAAUUAAUUGAUGAAUUAGGGGUUAAAUUGAUUGAAAUUCAAGUUAGAAGUUAGUAAAUGGUUGAUUUGUAAAAUAAAACAUAAGUUUAGAAUUAAUAGAGACUAAAUUGAGAGAAUUUUAAAAUUAGGGAUUUAUGGUGAAAUUAGAGAGUUAAAUUAGUUUAAAGAGAGAAUGAAAUGAAAAUAUGAAAUUAGUUUUGAGAAUAAAAGUUAGUCUCAGUUUAGGGACUAAAUUGAAAUUUAGGCAAAUAUUGAGUAAAAAUUGAAAAAUUUAAUGUGAGAUUGAAUGGUGUUGUAUUGAUGAUUCUUAAUUGUUUUAAUUCCGUAGCUAGUGUCGUACCGGAAUUCUCGACUAAAAAGGGGAAAAAUAUAGUCGACAUCGAAUAGCUCGGAAUUCCUGGUUUGUAUUUCUAUAAUCCGGAUCUAAUUAUUAAUUGUUGUAUUUUGAUUAAAUGUUAUGGUAAGUGAUUGAGGUGAGAAUUAUUGUUUUUUUUUUUACAAUUGAAAUGGAUUGUCUAGAUAUGUGAUGAAAUUAUAUUGGUUGAAUUAAAGUCGAAUAUAUAUUAUGAAUAUAUAUGUGUAAAUGUGAAAUUGUGCAAAUAUGAUAAUUGAAUUAUUUUUUAUAUGUAUAAAAUUCAGCCUUAAUGCCCAAGUAGAUAGAAUUUAGAACUACUGGUAUAUUAGUGGCAUGCCAUUAAGGAACUUUAGCGCGCUCUCUGAUUAUUAGCACGUUGGUGCUCUCUGAUUAUUAGCACGUUGGUGCUCUCUGAUUACUAGCACGUCAGUGCUCUCUGAUUAGCACAUCUGUGCUCUCUGUAUAGCACUUCAGUGCUCUCUGUUCAUUAGUGCAUAAUAAUGCAUCUCUAUAUUUGUUCCGUAUAUCCGGUGUGUUCUAUAAAAUCUACUUUGGGCUAAGAAUAAGAAUAUGAGAUAGUGAAUUGAAAAUAGAAUGUGAAAAACGAUAGUGAAUUGAAAACAGAAUAUGAAAUAUGUUAUAAAUACAUGGAAUACACGAGUUAUAUACUCAUGAAUUGAAUGUGGAACGCUAUUAUAUAUAGCAAGUGAUGAUAAUUGAGUAUCGUAUGGUUUUAAAUGUUCAAUUGUGCUUGACAUUUUAUUAUACAUAUUUUAUUGUUUUAUUUUUAAAUAUUCGGAUUAUAGAAAUACCACUGAGUUUAUACUCAGCGUACGGUUUGUUUCCGUGCGCUGGUUAAGUACUUAAGUUCGAUCGCUGAUUCAGCAUCCAACAACGAUCCCGAACUCAAAUAUGGUGAUGUUUAUUUCUUUGUGUCGGCAUGUACCUAGAGUGUCUAAAUAUUAGUUAUUUUGUGGUUUGAUUGUAAAUGAAGUUAUAAAAUCUAUUUUUGAAAGUUUAUAAUUUGGAUUAAAAUGAUGCUUUGAUGACUUGUUUUGAUGAUAUAAAAUGUUUGAGAUUUCUGUCUGUUUGAUCUGUAGUCUCCGGUAAUGCUCCAUAACCCAGUUUUGGCGAGGGAUACGGGUUGGGGGUGUUACAGUGUGGUCCACCCAUGUGGCCUUAAUCCUACGCACAAUCUUCACUGAUUCACUUGGAAAAGAACACACACCUUUCACAAGGGGUCCAAUCGACGUUCCUCAUGCCCAAUUCUGAUUCGAUGCACCUAAAUGUGGUCCUUCAAUGAAAAAUAUACUCAAUUAACGAUUGGUGUCAACAUUGGCAAGAUUUACAAAAUAUUUGACAAGAACCGU